Molecule: unclassified non-coding RNA, 259 nt
Filed under: Melitaea cinxia (Glanville fritillary)
Lineage: Eukaryota; Metazoa; Arthropoda; Insecta; Lepidoptera; Nymphalidae
Description: misc RNA ENSMCXG00005012034.1
Source: RNAcentral
UUUUCUUUUUUUUUUUUUUUUCAAGUUUUUAUUGAUUCAUUUGAAUUUUCAGUGAUUUGGUAAUUUAUAAAUCUUGCAGCAACACAAUAUUUACAACAAUGUAGGAAAACAUAACAUGGAUAUGUCACGUCUUAACGACUGUCACUGUCAAAUUUGUCAAAAAAAAAUUUUUAUCUAAAAGUCAACGUUUUUACAGAAAUUCAUGUGUUUAAUACAUAAGGACAACUUUGCACAGCAAUGUGUAAAAAGGGAGUGAAGA